AAAAUAACAUUUUAUUACUGUAAAUUACCUAUGUUAAGUAGACCAUACUUGAAUACUAUUAUUUGAGUAAACCAAAUUAAGUCUGUUAGUCACUAAAGUGUUAAAGUGUUCUUGUGUUACAGAUAGACCUGAAAUGAAAAUUUUUAAAUCCAACAAGAGGGGAUGAAAAAAAUAUGUUUUAAAAAUGUUGUUCGUUUUUCCAGAAUUUAUCCAUUUUUUAUUAUCUAUGGAUGUCAAUGGAUUUCUCUUAUUACAACUAAUAAUAAUACAAAAAUGUAGAUCAGAUUUACUAGCUUCCAAAACCUAAAAUCUCUAG
Cinara cedri is the source of this 316-nucleotide non-coding RNA. NCBI's taxonomy places the organism in Eukaryota, Metazoa, Arthropoda, Insecta, Hemiptera, Aphididae. The record is from the annotation of a GenBank genome assembly.